UACUCGAGUGGCGAACGGGUGAGUAACACGUGGGUGACCUGCCCUGCACUCUGGGAUAAGCCUGGGAAACUGGGUCUAAUACCGGAUAGGACCAUGCUUUAGUGUGUGUGGUGGAAAGUUUUUUCGGUGUAGGAUGAGCCCGCGGCCUAUCAGCUUGUUGGUGGGGUAAUGGCCUACCAAGGCGGCGACGGGUAGCCGGACUGAGAGGUUGGUCGGCCACAUUGGGACUGAGAUACGGCCCAG
This 243-nucleotide ribosomal RNA is filed under the name uncultured Actinomycetales bacterium. RNAcentral describes it as "partial 16S ribosomal RNA". It matches the Rfam family "Bacterial small subunit ribosomal RNA", at positions 88 to 334 of the family's 1533-position model. Lineage: Bacteria; Bacillati; Actinomycetota; Actinomycetes; Actinomycetales. The record is from RNAcentral.